UACGAAGGGGGCUAGCGUUACUCGGAUUGACUGGGCGUAAAGGGCGCGUAGGCGGUUCGUACAGUCAGACGUGAAAUUCCUGGGCUCAACCUGGGGGCUGCGCUUGAUACGUGCGGGCUUGAGUUCGGAAGAGGGUCGUGGAAUUCCCAGUGUAGAGGUGAAAUUCGUAGAUAUUGGGAAGAACACCGGUGGCGAAGGCGGCGACCUGGUCCGAUACUGACGCUGAGGCGCGAAAGCGUGGGGAGCAAACAGG
RNAcentral lists this ribosomal RNA (253 nucleotides) under uncultured bacterium. Its description in RNAcentral is "partial 16S ribosomal RNA". It matches the Rfam family "Bacterial small subunit ribosomal RNA", at positions 524 to 776 of the family's 1533-position model. The record is from RNAcentral.